Molecule: ribosomal RNA, 439 nt
Filed under: uncultured bacterium
Lineage: Bacteria
Description: partial 16S ribosomal RNA
Rfam family: Bacterial small subunit ribosomal RNA
Source: RNAcentral
CUCAGGGGUGCUGCAGUGAGGAAUAUUGCACAAUGGGGGGAACCCUGAUGCAGCAACGCCGCGUGGAGGAUGACGCAUUUCGGUGUGUAAACUCCUUUUAUAUGUCAAGAAAAUGACGGUAGCAUAUGAAUAAGCACCGGCUAACUCCGUGCCAGCAGCCGCGGUAAUACGGAGGGUGCAAGCGUUACUCGGAAUCACUGGGCGUAAAGGACGCGUAGGCGGGUUGGAAAGUCAGGUGUGAAAUCCUACAGCUUAACUGUAGAACUGCACUUGAAACUUCUAAUCUAGAGUAUGGGAGGGGGAGAUGGAAUUAGUGGUGUAGGGGUAAAAUCCGUAGAUAUCACUAGGAAUACCUAAAGCGAAGGCGAUCUCCUGGAACAUUACUGACGCUAAGGCGUGAAAGCGUGGGGAGCAAACAGGAUUAGAUACCCCUGUAGUC